Molecule: ribosomal RNA, 301 nt
Filed under: uncultured bacterium
Lineage: Bacteria
Description: partial 16S ribosomal RNA
Rfam family: Bacterial small subunit ribosomal RNA
Source: RNAcentral
CAGUAGCCACGGUAAUACGAAGGGUGCAAGCGUUACUCGGAAUUACUGGGCGUAAAGCGUGCGUAGGUGGUGGUUUAAGUCCGUUGUGAAAGCCCUGGGCUCAACCUGGGAAUUGCAGUGGAUACUGGGUCACUAGAGUGUGGUAGAGGAUAGUGGAAUUUCCGGUGUAGCAGUGAAAUGCGUAGAGAUCGGAAGGAACAUCUGUGGCGAAGGCGACUAUCUGGGCCAACACUGACACUGAGGCACGAAAGCGUGGGGAGCAAACAGGAUUAGAUACCCCCGUAGUCCCUGUCUCUUACAC